UCCCUCUCUUUGAAGGCUCAUGUUGCAGUUCCCCCGUAAUGAACCUUCCUUGAAGAAAGCUCGGCGCUGGAGGAAUGGAAGGUGGAGCAGCGUGGAUGCUAGAAUGCAGUAGUAUUUCCUCCUGAGUGAAGAGAGACUCUUCUUCCUGUAAUCUCCUUGUCUCUCCGUCUGAGGAGAUAUUAGCCAAGACUCACAGAUGGGAUCAUUUACAGUUUCCUUUUGGGCAGCCUUGGCCCUUUCAGAUUUUGUUUAUUCAGGCGAGGUUUUCAAACAAGUGAGGGCGGAGCAGCGAAGGGCUCUCCUCAGAUAUGCUGAUUUGGAUUAUUGGUGCUGCAGGUCCGGUGGCCGAUCUGACACAAAAUGAUGGAUGGAAGUUCUUUGGAACCAACUCCAGGACACAGCCCCAAGAUCAGAGCUGCCAGACCUCAACACUCUGCCAAUGACACCGUGCAGAACCUGGAGUCCCCCAGAUGGACCUGAUUCUGACUGGCCAUCAAGAAAAGUUCAUCUGCCUUAUUGGGAGUGGUGAGCAUUGUAUGUGUAACCUGUGCAUUCUGUUCUGGUGAUUGUUAAUAAACGGAUAUUAAGGA
Caretta caretta (loggerhead turtle) is the source of this 590-nucleotide long non-coding RNA. RefSeq lists it as uncharacterized. The record is from RefSeq and is a predicted model, not a curated record. Lineage: Eukaryota; Metazoa; Chordata; Testudines; Cheloniidae.